UACAGAGGUCUCAAGCGUUGUUCGGAUUCAUUGGGCGUAAAGGGUGCGUAGGUGGCGCGGUAAGUCGGGUGUGAAAUUUCGGAGCUCAACUCCGAAACUGCAUUCGAUACUGCCGUGCUUGAGGACUGGAGAGGAGACUGGAAUUUACGGUGUAGCGGUGAAAUGCGUAGAUAUCGUAAGGAAGACCAGUGGCGAAGGCGGGUCUCUGGACAGUUCCUGACGCUGAGGCACGAAGGCCAGGGGAGCAAACAGG
This 253-nucleotide ribosomal RNA is filed under the name uncultured bacterium. RNAcentral's name for it is "partial 16S ribosomal RNA". It matches the Rfam family "Bacterial small subunit ribosomal RNA", at positions 524 to 776 of the family's 1533-position model. The record is from RNAcentral.